This is a long non-coding RNA of Oncorhynchus tshawytscha (Chinook salmon), 846 nucleotides long. NCBI's taxonomy places the organism in Eukaryota, Metazoa, Chordata, Actinopteri, Salmoniformes, Salmonidae. The record is from Ensembl.
CCCAGAGCCUGACACGGUGCAACGUGUGUCCCUCUGUCUCCUUGGUGAUCAACCCCAGGUGUCCAUAUGUGGAAGCAAAUGAUCCUCGACUGCCUCACCACCUGGAAGACCCUGACCUCACCCAAGCACCUCUACCCCAAAAGCCAGACAUUCCUCAAUGUCCCCCACACCACUUCCUAGAGAAAUAGGUUCCAUAGAGUCAAACUUGCUGCAAUUGGACCCUACUGCAUGCAACUCACUGCUAGUCCAGUUCCCUACCUCUGCAACUGAUCCAGAAUGUAGCAAUAUCUGGUGUUACAACCUUUCCUUGUUCUCCAAUGUCACACCACUCCUCCACUGGCUUCCUGAAGAUGCUUGCAUCAAAUGUAAUACUCUGUUGCUUGAUUCAGUGCAGUGAAGGUCACUCCUCAUCCUUUUGUCAACAGUGAACAUCUAAAUAGAGAAUAAGUGUGUGUUUGUUUUUCCAUGCCGCUGCCGCCUUCACCCCUAUUACAGUGCCUCUUUACAUGUUGCCUUGUGUGUGUUUGUGACUGAACUGAUUAACAUGUUACAAAUAUGAACUAUACACCCUUUGACACAAUCCCUGUCUCAAUGAUAGAUAACGUCCUGGAACUCUGAAGUGCUCCUAACAGCGAAUUAUUAUAUUUUCAUGUGUUUUUUGUCUUCUGCAGACAAAUAUAAUGUUCCACUUCGACAACAAAGUUUAGAUUAGUAUAGUGACAGAUUGAUUCAGGUUGGAAGUCAUAUCAGCUGAAAGUACAUUAGGCUUGUAGCGCAAAGAAUAGACACCUUCAUUUUGAAAUAGACAGAGCAUGCACAACAAAGUUUCAAUUUCUUAUUUUUGAC